AUUGAACGCUGGCGGCAGGCCUAACACAUGCAAGUCGAGCGAGCGGCGGACGGGGGAGUGAUGUAUGGGGAUCUUCCCGAAGGCGGGGGAGAACUACUGGAAACGGUGGCGAAUACAGCAUACUCUCGGGUGAACCCAUAUGGGAUUAGCUAGUAGGUGGGGUAAAGGCUCACCUAGGCGACGAUCUCUCGCUGGUCUGAGAGGAUGAACAGCCACACUGGGACGGAGAAACGGCCCAGACUCUGACGGGAGGCAGCAUUGGGGAAUAUUGCACAAUGGGCGCAAGCCGGCUGCAGCAAUGCCGGGUGUAUGAAGAAGGCCUUAGGGUUGUAAAGUACUUUCAGCGGGGAGGCGUUACCCGCCGAAGAAGCACCGGCUAACUCCGUGCCAGCAGCCGCGGUAAUAC
Molecule: ribosomal RNA, 406 nt
Filed under: uncultured bacterium
Lineage: Bacteria
Description: partial 16S ribosomal RNA
Rfam family: Bacterial small subunit ribosomal RNA
Source: RNAcentral